RNAcentral lists this ribosomal RNA (204 nucleotides) under Enterococcus faecalis. RNAcentral describes it as "partial 16S ribosomal RNA". It matches the Rfam family "Bacterial small subunit ribosomal RNA", at positions 327 to 523 of the family's 1533-position model. The record is from RNAcentral. Lineage: Bacteria; Bacillati; Bacillota; Bacilli; Lactobacillales; Enterococcaceae.
CGGUCCAGACUCCUACGGGAGGCAGCAGUAGGGAAUCUUCGGCAAUGGACGAAAGUCUGACCGAGCAACGCCGCGUGAGUGAAGAAGGUUUUCGGAUCGUAAAACUCUGUUGUUAGAGAAGAACAAGGACGUUAGUAACUGAACGUCCCCUGACGGUAUCUAACCAGAAAGCCACGGCUAACUACGUGCCAGCAGCCGCGGUAA